Molecule: ribosomal RNA, 253 nt
Filed under: uncultured bacterium
Lineage: Bacteria
Description: partial 16S ribosomal RNA
Rfam family: Bacterial small subunit ribosomal RNA
Source: RNAcentral
UACAGAGGACUCAAGCGUUGUUCGGAUUCAUUGGGCGUAAAGGGUGCGUAGGUGGCGUCGUAAGUCAGGGGUGAAAUCUCGGGGCUCAACCCCGAAACUGCACUUGAUACUGCGAUGCUCGAGUACUGGAGAGGAGAUUGGAAUUUACGGUGUAGCAGUGAAAUGCGUAGAUAUCGUAAGGAAGACCAGGGGCGAAGGCGAAUCUCUGGACAGUUACUGACACUGAGGCACGAAGGCCCGGGGAGCAAACGGG